CCUACGGGUGGCUGCAGUGGGGAAUAUUGGACAAUGGGCGAAAGCCUGAUCCAGCCAUGCCGCGUGUGUGAAGAAGGCCUUCGGGUUGUAAAGCACUUUCAGUGGGGAAGAAAGCCUUGGCGCUAAUACCCUCGAGGAAGGACAUCACCCACAGAAGAAGCACCGGCUAACUCCGUGCCAGCAGCCGCGGUAAUACGGAGGGUGCGAGCGUUAAUCGGAAUUACUGGGCGUAAAGCGCGCGUAGGCGGUCUGAUAAGCCGGUUGUGAAAGCCCCGGGCUCAACCUGGGAACGGCAUCCGGAACUGUCAGGCUAGAGUGCAGGAGAGGAAGGUAGAAUUCCCGGUGUAGCGGUGAAAUGCGUAGAGAUCGGGAGGAAUACCAGUGGCGAAGGCGGCCUUCUGGACUGACACUGACGCUGAGGUGCGAAAGCGUGGGUAGCAAACAGGAUUAGAUACCCGAGUAGUC
This 465-nucleotide ribosomal RNA is filed under the name Vreelandella stevensii. Its description in RNAcentral is "partial 16S ribosomal RNA". It matches the Rfam family "Bacterial small subunit ribosomal RNA", at positions 338 to 795 of the family's 1533-position model. The record is from RNAcentral. Lineage: Bacteria; Pseudomonadati; Pseudomonadota; Gammaproteobacteria; Oceanospirillales; Halomonadaceae.